This 497-nucleotide ribosomal RNA is filed under the name uncultured bacterium. RNAcentral's name for it is "partial 16S ribosomal RNA". It matches the Rfam family "Bacterial small subunit ribosomal RNA", at positions 28 to 507 of the family's 1533-position model. The record is from RNAcentral.
GAUGAACGCUGGCGGCGUGCCUAAUACAUGCCAGUCGAGCGAACGGACGAGAAGCUUGCUUCUCUGUUGUUAGCGGCGGACGGGUGAGUAACACGUGGAUAACCUACCUAUAAGACUGGGAUAACUUCGGGAAACCGGAGCUAAUACCGGAUAAUAUUUUGAACCGCAUGGUUCAAAAGUGAAAGACGGUCUUGCUGUCACUUAUAGAUGGAUCCGCGCUGCAUUAGCUAGUUGGUAAGGUAACGGCUUACCAAGGCAACGAUGCAUAGCCGACCUGAGAGGGUGAUCGGCCACACUGGAACUGAGACACGGUCCAGACUCCUACGGGAGGCAGCAGUAGGGAAUCUUCCGCAAUGGGCGAAAGCCUGACGGAGCAACGCCGCGUGAGUGAUGAAGGUCUUCGGAUCGUAAAACUCUGUUAUUAGGGAAGAACAUAUGUGUAAGUAACUGUGCACAUCUUGACGGUACCUAAUCAGAAAGCCACGGCUAACUACGUG